UUGGUGAGGUUCUCGUUGGACCCAAAAGAAGGGAAUGGGGUUAAUUUGAUGGAAAUCCCUAAAACAAAUCAUUUCCUGUACUCUCUUCUCCUCUCACCCCGACGGCGAUAAUGGGCCGGUUGUCGGCAGCUUCAAACCGGUGGAGAAGAAUUACAAUGGCUGGUUUAUGAAGUUCUAAUCCCGAAGUGUCUCUGGUUCUAUAUGGGUAAAGAAGAAGACAGUGGUUUAUGGUGACACACUCUUCUCAGCGACGAACAAGGUAUCUCCUCUCCUUUCUGUUUUGAUUCUAUUUCUAUCCUUUUUUGGAUUUUUUUCAUAAACUUGUAUUAUCCUUAUUCUCAUCUUCUUUAAUUAACAGAAGCAGUGAAUGUAAAAUAUUUUUUAUGUUCUCCUUUUUUAGAAGACAUGGUAGUGACAAAGGGGUAGUACUAAUAUAUGCGUAGAUUUCUAAAUUCUAACAUAAAAAAUAUUUGGAUUAAGCAUGUAUUAGAAUGUUAAGUAUUGCAAUAUCAUUUUUCAUCCUUUAUUGUUUAUCAAGCUAAACCAGAAACAUAAUAUAAUUCAAAUCAUCGCUAUUACUAGUUCAUUGCAUAAAAGGAGUUUUGUUCAGGGUGCCUUGUUAUGAAAUCUUGACAAAAUGCCUGCUGGUGCGUUUAAUAAAUAUGUAAAUAUGUUAAAACAUAUUUCAAUUUGCAACUACUUGAAUAGGAUGAAUAGUGUACCUGAGAGUAUACCUUUUUUCCUUUGCUCUUUGAGUGACAACCUUCUGUUCCUUGUUGUUUUUUCUUUGCACUUGCAUGACGUUCUUUGAUUUGUGAUACACGUACAUGUGAUAUUUCCUAAUUUUUGAUAGCUAUAUGUAUUGUGAAUAUGUAUUGUUUGCUUAUAGUUGUGGGAUGGCACUCUUUUUUCUCUCUCUAAUUUUCUGGGUUGUGAUGUAUGUAAGUGAUAUGUCCUUUUUUCUCUCUUUUUCUUAUGGUUGUGUAUGCGUAUAUGUAAUCUGGUCUUUGUUCUCUCUCUGAUUUCCUUAUGGUUGUGUGUUGUGUUUGUUCUCUUUGUGAUUAAGUAUGUCUUUCUGGGUGUAUGCUACAUGGUCCUAUUUAUAACUCGUUAUCCCAUGUAAAGACCUUUUGAGUUUCCCUCAUCUUGGCUUGAUUGUUGCUCUUUUGAUUCAGAUAUCUUUAUGAUACUCAUUAGGUUUUUUGUGUGUGCUAAUUACGUCUUUGUAACUGAAAAGCUCUUGGUUUACCCAUGUUAUAACUCUCCUUGAUAUCCUGCUCCAAAAAAUAUGUCUAACUAUAUUAUAUGUCCCCUUGAUUUCAUAACUGUCCGAAAAAAAUAAUGUGUUGUAAAUCAAUGGAAUAUGUAAUGAAUUUUGGUUGACUGUUACUACUUAUGCAUUAGUUUGCAACCUCCAACUAACUCUUUGUCCCUUCUGAAUUCAUUAUGUGAUUGAUCCGAUUAUGAUUUGCUCAUUAUUCCUGAAAUUUGUGCCUGUUAUGAGAAUAUGCAACUCUGUUUUCACAAAAACCAGUCUGCUGGACUGUUCAUAAGGGAGGGUACCCGUGUAACUCUUGUUCUUUAGCCAUACCUACUUCAAUACCAAUCUCUUUUGCUUUCUGAAUUCAGUUUACUGUUUGCAUCUAGUUUAUUUCUCUUUGGGUUUGGUUUAACAUUGGAUUCUUUUAAUAGUAGGCUUAAGGCUUUUUGAGGACCAUUAUUGAUCAACAAUUCUGGAUAUUGAGUUGGAUACCUCUUAGCUUUCAUUAUAUCACUCCCUUCUCCUUGACAGACCUUUUUGCUAUUAUACCAUGGCACAUGAAAUAAUGCAAGCAUCCCAAGUGUUUAUUUCCUGUCCACUUUUGACAAGUCUUACUUUAGCCUUUGUAUUGGUAUGAGUACACACCAUAAUCUCAAAUGGCAUUUUCCAUCUUGAAUUAUAGGAAACAAACUCAUCCUUUAACAAAAAUAUCUUCUUAACUUGAUGAUUCCCCUAUAUCAGGUACAGUCCUGGCAUGAUCUCCCAGAACAGGAUCGAACAUUGGUGGUGCAAAUCGCUUUCCAACUUGGGUUGAUCUUCAACCUUAUCCAAGAAUGUCUAAAUCAACUUAAGUGUCCUCCGAACAUAGAAGUUUAACGAAGGAUGUUCUAGAUGCAAAAAUAUCCACCUUCAGCAAUACUUUUUUAUAUAAGCUCACUGUACACUAUCUUGUUCUUUUGGAAAAUCAACCUCUUGACGUGCCUGCCCUGUAAUUUCAGUCGUUUCUGACUAGGGAGCCCCAUCAACCGCUAAAGAUAUUCAUUCUUUUUCCAUCAUUUUUAAUCCCAUUCUACUGUUCAUGUGAUCCUCUAGAGGGAAAGUAUUUGUUUGUAUUAAAGGCAAAACCAGUGUCAAGUUCAUGUAGCUUUCGUAUUGUAAGUGAAUGGUUUGUAUUUGCCAACAUUAAAGUUUGAACUUGAGGAGCUUAGAUAUACCUUUUUCAGCUUAGUUUUCUUCCAAUGAUUAUAAUUGGUGUUUGUAUUGAUUAUGAUAAUAUUUGUAACCAAAAAAACUUGAUCAGAGAUAGUUUAUUCACCUUAAUAUUCUAUUUUAAUAAUAUUGGUCAGUGAUUUACAAUAUUUUUUGAAGUAAUAACUAAUUGUCUUUUUCGUAUAUGUAUGACCAAGUUGUGUUAUAUAUGGAAAACUAUAGCGUAUGAGUUUCUGUUAACAAUUUGGAUUAUUUUCGUGUAAUAUUUACUCCAAUUGUAUCUUUAAAAUAAAAUUAAAUAAUUUCAUAAAUACAUAUUAUGUAAUAACUAAAACAAUCAUUGUUUGAGUGUAUGAAUUUUAAUGACGCUCAUUAAAGCAAACGAUAUUAAAUGUGUGACUUUUAACAGUGUUUAUUCUAAUGAGUAUUGUUGAUUGUCACCUUUAAUAAAAAUCAUUUAAGCGUUGUUGAAUACAAAUCAACUGCGCUUACUUAAAAAAAAUGUUGUUGAAUAUCUUAGGCAAACAUACAACAUCGCUUAUUGAAGCAAGCAUUAUUGAAGUUAUAUCCGCCUAUCAAAUUUCACAGUGUUUGCUUAAAGGAGCGUUGUUGAUUAUCUUCCGUCUUGUAUUUAAAAGUGAUGUGCUAGGAAACAAACGUGAAUUUUGGCGUAGUGUGACGGUCAUGUCAUAUCUUCUGGUCGUUUGAGAUGAGAUUUUAUUUGUGUUGUUGGGCGUCUUUGGCCAUAAAUAGAGACUUCUCUCAUUCAGAAAAAUCAUAUUAGUUAAGAGCAUUUCCUCAACUCUUCUUUUUCCCUCUCUACCGAAACAUUUACUACUUUCAAGAAUUGACAUUAUUAGUCAUAUGGUGAGAAAUUCGAGAAUUGAUAAGGAUAGUCAUAUUAUGAGUAUUUCGAGAAUUUGUAAUGGUAGCUACGUUAUGGGUGUAUUCGAUAUCAGUUCUUACGUGCAGUAAGAAAACGAAAUAGAAAAGUGAGUUGUUUUAUCUUAAGAACAUCAUGGUUAAUAGUCUACUUGCACAAAUUAAAAAGUAUCACAAAAUAUUUUAAAGAGAUAAAUCUAGUUAUAACUCAUCAAGUAAUAUAUAUGCAUUGUCAUAUUUAAUUGCUGCAAGUCAUGAACAAUGGAUUCUUAUAUAGACCAUAUGAAAACUUCUUGCCAAAACAUCAUAUUUAAAACAAGCUAUAACAUCUCACAUCUAGAUAGAAAUACUACUGCAUACAUUUCUAUGUCAAUUUUAAAAUUUUAAAAAUCUUCUGCAAUAUUGUCAUUGAAAAUUUCCCGAAUUGAUUUUCCAUUUCUAUAAAAAAAAAUAUUGUGUGAGAACUUUGAGUUCCAGAAUAUACCUUGCAGUAUUUAAAAUAAAGAAAUGUCAUUUUUUUUCUUUCACUUCACCUCCACAAAUUGUGUGUAUGGGCAAAAAGUCGGUAAUAGAGUCUAUUGCAGUGGAUAAGAUGUCUUCAGAGGUUCUUAAAUAAGGAUUUUUUAUAGGUAUAUAUUCGAUAAUAAUGAGCCGGGGUUUCAUUCAAAAGGAUUUUAUGCUCCUUGGUUAGUUAUCAUCUUGUAUUUGUGUAAUGAAAGAUUUGAGUUUGUUUGAAAGUUUCUCAUGCAGAGACCAACUAACUUACUGGUGGAAAAUAAACAUGUGGGGGCAAGAAAAUUA
RNAcentral lists this long non-coding RNA (4153 nucleotides) under Lupinus angustifolius (narrow-leaved blue lupine). RNAcentral's name for it is "long non-coding RNA (LANG_LNC000194)". Lineage: Eukaryota; Viridiplantae; Streptophyta; Magnoliopsida; Fabales; Fabaceae. The record is from RNAcentral.